GAUGGGCCCGCGGCGCAUUAGCUAGUUGGUGGGGUAAAGGCUUACCAAGGCAAUGAUGCGUAGCCGAACUGAGAGGUUGAUCGGCCACAUUGGGACUGAGACACGGCCCAAACUCCUACGGGAGGCAGCAGUAGGGAAUCUUCCACAAUGGGCGAAAGCCUGAUGGAGCAACGCCGCGUGGGUGAAGAAGGUCUUCGGAUCGUAAAACCCUGUUGUUAGAGAAGAAAGUGCGUGAGAGUAACUGUUCACGUUUCGACGGUAUCUAACCAGAAAGCCACGGCUAACUACGUGCCAGCAGCCGCGGUAAUACGUAGGUGGCAAGCGUUAUCCGGAUUUAUUGGGCGUAAAGGGAACGCAGGCGGUCUUUUAAGUCUGAUGUGAAAGCCUUCGGCUUAACCGGAGUAGUGCAUUGGAAACUGGGAGACUUGAGUGCAGAAGAGGAGAGUGGAACUCCAUGUGUAGCGGUGAAAUGCGUAGAUAUAUGGAAGAACACCAGUGGCGAAAGCGGCUCUCUGGUCUGUAACUGACGCUGAGGUUCGAAAGCGUGGGUAGCAAACAGGAUUAGAUACCCUGGUAGUCCACGCCGUAAACGAUGAAUGCUAAGUGUUGGAGGGUUUCCGCCCUUCAGUGCU
RNAcentral lists this ribosomal RNA (632 nucleotides) under uncultured bacterium. RNAcentral describes it as "bacterial SSU rRNA". It matches the Rfam family "Bacterial small subunit ribosomal RNA", at positions 224 to 847 of the family's 1533-position model. The record is from RNAcentral.